GAUUUGACCAGUGGCGGCUGUUCUAUGUGGUCAGUUUGCAACUGUCUCUUGCUGGAGCACAAGGGCUGCAGGUUGGCUUGGAGACAGCACUGCUUGACAGAAGAUACCCUGCUUUCCUAAUGCUCGCAAAAGUACAAGGCCCAAGAGUAUGAACUUCCUGGAGCUGCUUUGCACUUGAUGCAGUCCUGGCCUUAGUAGAGAGGCCUGGCAAGUGGAGCUGGAGGUCUCGGAUAGAGGAGAACAUGGACACCGUGGUGCCAGCAUUCCUCAGGCUUUGAUCCUUGGACCAGCUUGAUCCUGCAUUCUUACAUUAGUGGGUGAUAGCACUGAACUUCCAGAAGCAGUGGGCUUCAUUUCAUCUGACAAAUGCUUGUAAAGUGGGUUCUGCCCUUACAAGUAAAGAACAGAGGAGCCAAAGGUUGGCUUGGAGUACUCAGAGACAGCACUGCUUGACAGAAGAUACCCUGCAAUCCUAAUGUCCUCAAAAGUACAACGCCCAAGAGUAUGAACUUCCUGGAGCUGCUUUGCACUGGAUGCAAUCCUGGUCUAAGUAGAGAGGCCUUGCAAGUGGAGCUGGAGGUCUUGGGUAGAGGAGAACAUGGACUCGGUGGUGCCAGCAUUCCUCAGAUAAUUACCGUGUAUCCGAAGCUGCUUUAUUUCAUAAUAAGGAAGGUGGGCCUGGAUAACCACAGAAGAGCAAUGUACAGUAAACUUUGCAACUUGGAAAUGCAUUUUUCCAUGAGUGAAUCUAUGAAAGUUGUUUCAGAAUUUAAAGUUCAGUGACACAGUGGUUACUCCACGUACCUUUGGCAACAUGUUAUGGAAAACUUGAAGGACUGGCAAGAUGGCUCAGCAGGUAAAGCUGUUUGACACCAAAAUCUGACCUCCUGUAUUCCAUCACCAAAUUUAACUGUGACACAGAAGGACUAACUUCAGAGAGUUGACCUCUGAACUUCCCACUCAUGCUGUGGGUUUUGUGUGCCAACACUCACACACAUAGCUGCCUACUUCAGUCAAUGACAGUGUGCUUUUAGAGCUAACAUCUUGCUACAUUUGAGAAGGUGUCUUUUGUUUGCUGCCUUGAAGUCUUCAAGCUGUCUUAUGGAAGACUGAAGAAUAUUUUCAUACAGAAAUUCAAGAAUAAGCUUCAGUUAUUAAACAAUGAGUAUCUGAAAAUCAGAAUAUGAUUUGAAUUAGUUACUUUCUCUUAUGCCUUUUACAGUUGUGUGUUUGUUGGCCUCUGCCACAAUCAUUGUCAUCAGGUCUGACCAUAAGCACAUUCACCAUUAUUUUACUUAGAGUGUUUAUGUCACUAAUUAAACACCAUGACCAAAAGC
Molecule: long non-coding RNA, 1337 nt
Organism: Mus musculus (house mouse)
Lineage: Eukaryota; Metazoa; Chordata; Mammalia; Rodentia; Muridae
Product: predicted gene 28453
Exons: 6
Source: RefSeq, marked validated